Molecule: transfer RNA, 74 nt
Filed under: Caldisphaera sp.
Lineage: Archaea; Thermoproteati; Thermoproteota; Thermoprotei; Acidilobales; Acidilobaceae
Description: tRNA-Val
Rfam family: tRNA
About the family: Transfer RNA (tRNA) molecules are approximately 80 nucleotides in length. Their secondary structure includes four short double-helical elements and three loops (D, anti-codon, and T loops).
Source: RNAcentral
GGGCCCGUAGUCUAGCUGGUUAGGACGCCGCCCUGACGCGGCGGAGGUCUCCGGUUCGAAUCCGGACGGGCCCA